ACGCGAAAGCCCCCUUCGGGGGGCAAGUAGAGUGGCGCACGGGUGAGUAACACGUAGGUAAUCUACCUUUGGAUUGGGAAUAACCACCGGAAACGGUGGCUAAUACCGAAUAAUGCAGCGGCACCUAAUGGUGACAGUUGUUAAAGCGGGGGAUCGCAAGACCUCGCGUCUGAAGAGGAGCCUGCGGCGGAUUAGCUAGUUGGUAAGGUAACGGCUUACCAAGGCGAUGAUCCGUAGCCGGCCUGAGAGGGCGGUCGGCCACACUGACACUGACAUACAGGUCAGACUCCUACGGGAGGCAGCAGUCGGGAAUUUUGGGCAAUGGGCGAAAGCCUGACCCAGCAACGCCGCGUGAAGGAUGAAAUCCUUCGGGAUGUAAACUUCGCAAGAACGGGAAGAAUAAGUAAGAGCUAACACCUCUUACGAUGACGGUACUGUUUGUAAGCUCCGGCUAACUCCGUGCCAGCAGCCGCGGUAAUACGGGGGGAGCAAGCGUUG
Molecule: ribosomal RNA, 498 nt
Filed under: uncultured bacterium
Lineage: Bacteria
Description: bacterial SSU rRNA
Rfam family: Bacterial small subunit ribosomal RNA
Source: RNAcentral